RNAcentral lists this ribosomal RNA (1385 nucleotides) under uncultured bacterium. RNAcentral describes it as "bacterial SSU rRNA". It matches the Rfam family "Bacterial small subunit ribosomal RNA". The record is from RNAcentral.
AGAGUUUGAUCCUGGCUCAGGAUAAACGCUGGCGGCAUGCCUAAUACAUGCAAGUCGAACGGUAUCUUCGGAUACAGUGGCGAACGGGUGAGUAACACGUAGGUAACCUGCCCCUGUAACAGGAAUACUUUCUGGAAACGGAAAACAAAACCUGAUAACAGAGGACAAGGCAUCUUGACCUUUUGAAACAGACAAAAGUCUGGAACAGGGAGGGACCUGCGGCGCAUUAGCCAGUUGGCGGGGUAGCAGCCCACCAAAGCGAUGAUGCGUAGCCGGCCUGAGAGGGCGAACGGCCACACUGGGACUGAGAUACGGCCCAGACUCCUACGGGAGGCAGCAGUAGGGAAUUUUCGUCAAUGGGCGCAAGCCUGAACGAGCAAUGCCGCGUGGGUGAAGGAGGUCUUCGGACUGUAAAGCCCUGUUGCAGGGGGAAAAGGGAAUUAAGAGUGGAAAGCUUAAUUUUUGAUGGUACCCUGCCAGAAAGCCACGGCUAACUACGUGCCAGCAGCCGCGGUAAUACGUAGGUGGCAAGCGUUAUCCGGAAUGAUUGGGCGUAAAGGGUGAGCAGGCGGUCAUACAAGUCUGAAGUAAAAGCGGGGUGCUUAACACUUCGAGGCUUUGGAAACUGUAUGACUUGAGGACAGGAGAGGGCGGUGGAACUCCAUGUGUAGCGGUAAAAUGCGUAGAGAUGUGGAAGAACACCAGCGGCGAAGGCGACCGCCUGGACUGGAUCUGACGCUGAGUCACGAAAGCGUGGGGAGCAAAUAGGAUUAGAUACCCUAGUAGUCCACGCUGUAAACUAUGAGGAGCAGGUGUUGGGAGUCAAAUCUCAGUGCCGAAGCAAACGCAAUGACUCCUCCGCCUGGGGAGUAUGCACGCAAGUGUGAAACUCAAAGGAAUUGACGGGGGCCCGCACAAGCGGUGGAGUAUGUGGUUUAAUUCGAAGCAACGCGAAGAACCUUACCAGGUUUUGACAUCGGAUGCAAAGCUUAAGAGAUUAAGCGGAGGUUAUCAUCCAGACAGGUGGUGCAUGGUUGUCGUCAGCUCGUGUCGUGAGAUGUUAGGUUAAGUCCUGCAACGAGCGCAACCCCUGUUGCAUGUUGCCAGCAAGUGAAGUUGGGCACUCGUGCAAGACUGCCGCAGAUAAUGCGGAGGAAGGCGGGGAUGACGUCAAAUCAUCAUGCCCCUUAUGACCUGGGCUACACACGUACUACAAUGGCGUCUACAGCAGGAAGCGAAGCCGUGAGGCGAAGCAAAACUCAAAAGGGCGUCCCAGUUCGGAUUGAAGUCUGCAACCCGACUUCAUGAAGAUGGAAUCGCUAGUAAUCGCGGAUCAGCAUGCCGCGGUGAAUACGUUCCCGGGCCUUGCACACACCGCCCGUCAA